This 693-nucleotide long non-coding RNA is filed under the name Numida meleagris (helmeted guineafowl). Its description in RNAcentral is "lncRNA (ENSNMEG00000001067.1)". The record is from RNAcentral. Lineage: Eukaryota; Metazoa; Chordata; Aves; Galliformes; Numididae.
CAAAGUUGGGGACACCCCUCUGGGUUCGCCCCCCAGACCGCACUGUUUCCAUGGGGUGAGGGUGGGAAAGGUGCACCUUAUUUUUGUAACUAGGGUUUAUUUGGUGAUAACAGGGGGUUGGGGGAUGCUCCCCCCCUCUCCCCCUGUGCCCCCAGGUGAAUAAAGGGCAGAGGAGCGGCUGUGGGGUUCCGCAUGUCACACAGGAGGGACUUUGGGGACAGAUCACUGCAGCAGCCCGGCCCCAUAACCACUACAGCCCCAAUCCCAUAGCCAUAACCCCCACAUCCCAUAGCUAUAUCCCACCUUAUCCCAUCCCAUAGCCCAUCCUGUAUCUAUAUCCCCAAAUCCAUCCCUUAUCCCCAUAUCCCAUUCCACAUCCAUCCUAUAUCCCAUCUCAUAUUCUUCCUAUAUUCCAUCACGUAUCCAUAUCUUUAUCCCAUUCCAGUAUCAUCCCAAACCCAUCUCAUAUCCAUAUCCCAUAUCCAUUCCAUGGACUUAUGCUGUAUCCAGAGCCCAUCCCAUACGUAUCCCCUUUCCCGAUAUCCCAUCCCGUAUCCAUAUCCCAUAUCCUCACACCCUCCAUCCCAAUCCCAACCCCGCAUGCCACCUGACAAUCCCAGUCCCAAUCCCACAUCCCAACCUCAAUUAGCAAGAGGGUGAACCCAAGGCCAAAGGCUGCCCCAUAGGCUGCAG